RNAcentral lists this ribosomal RNA (492 nucleotides) under uncultured bacterium. RNAcentral describes it as "partial 16S ribosomal RNA". It matches the Rfam family "Bacterial small subunit ribosomal RNA", at positions 29 to 507 of the family's 1533-position model. The record is from RNAcentral.
AGUGAACGCUGGCGGUAGGCCUAACACAUGCAAGUCGAACGGCAGCACAGUAAGAUCUUGCUCUUACGGGUGGCGAGUGGCGGACGGGUGAGGAAUACAUCGGAAUCUACUUUUUCGUGGGGGAUAACGUAGGGAAACUUACGCUAAUACCGCAUACGACCUACGGGUGAAAGCAGGGGAUCUUCGGACCUUGCGCGAUUGAAUGAGCCAAUGUCGGAUUAGCUAGUUGGCGGGGUAAAGGCCCACCAAGGCGACGAUCCGUAGCUGGUCUGAGAGGAUGAUCAGCCACACUGGAACUGAGACACGGUCCAGACUCCUACGGGAGGCAGCAGUGGGGAAUCUUGGACAAUGGGCGCAAGCCUGAUCCAGCCAUACCGCGUGGGUGAAGAAGGCCUUCGGGUUGUAAAGCCCUUUUGUUGGGAAAGAAAAGCAGCAGGUUAAUACCCCGCUGUUCUGACGGUACCCAAAGAAUAAGCACCGGCUAACUUCGUG